Molecule: long non-coding RNA, 592 nt
Filed under: Fukomys damarensis (Damara mole-rat)
Lineage: Eukaryota; Metazoa; Chordata; Mammalia; Rodentia; Bathyergidae
Description: lncRNA (ENSFDAG00000028482.1)
Source: RNAcentral
GCCUUUGUGAGUUACAGGGCAUGUCACACAGGCAUGUACACAAUCGUGGUGAUAGCAGGGCCCAAAGGAAGCUGUAAGUCAAGAACCAAGAGUCUACAAGUGAAGCACUGGCUGACAGCCCUGCCCCGUAGUCAUCGGUGUGGACACGCUUGCAGCAUGAAUAUUAAAAAGAGGACAGAUUCUACUUUAUCAGAAACACAAACUUAAGGAUCAAAUUUAUCUACUGGGCAACAAGAACAACAACAACAAAAGGACAGAAACAACCCCUUUACAUUUAAAAAAAUACAAACAUAACCAGAAUACGUAUUUGCAUGUAAAGAAAAAUGCUUCAGCUCCUCCCACCCCAGGCAAUUCACUGCUGAACACCUUGAGUCCUAGUGUGGGUGGAGGAAGAAGGCAGAUUCAGAGAAAGGUUCCAGAGAUUCUUAAGAUGCCCGGGACCAGUACAACCACUGUGAAGUCAGUAUGGAGAUGCCUCAAAAACCUGAAACUAGAAAUUCCAUUCAACCCAGCUAUUUCCUUUCUAGGUAUGUUCGCAAAAGAGAAUAUAUCAUAUUACAGCGAUACAUGCAUACUCCCAUUUAUAGCAGCA